This 486-nucleotide ribosomal RNA is filed under the name uncultured bacterium. RNAcentral's name for it is "partial 16S ribosomal RNA". It matches the Rfam family "Bacterial small subunit ribosomal RNA", at positions 30 to 507 of the family's 1533-position model. The record is from RNAcentral.
AUUGAACGCUGGCGGCAUGCCUUACACAUGCAAGUCGAACGGCAGCACUGGUGCUUGCCCCUGGUGGCGAGUGGCGAACGGGUGAGUAAUACAUCGGAACAUGUCCUGUAGUGGGGGAUAGCCCGUCGAAAGCCGGAUUAAUACCGCAUACGAUCCACGGACGAAAGCGGGGGACCUUCGGGCCUCGCGCUAUAGGGUUGGCCGAUGGCUGAUUAGCUAGUUGGUGGGGUAAAGGCCUACCAAGGCGACGAUCAGUAGCUGGUCUGAGAGGACGACCAGCCACACUGGGACUGAGACACGGCCCAGACUCCUACGGGAGGCAGCAGUGGGGAAUUUUGGACAAUGGGCGAAAGCCUGAUCCAGCAAUGCCGCGUGUGUGAAGAAGGCCUUCGGGUUGUAAAGCACUUUUGUCCGGAAAGAAAUCCUUGACUCUAAUACAGUCGGGGGAUGACGGUACCGGAAUAAUAAGCACCGGCUAACUACGUG